UGACCUAGCGGCGGACGGGUGAGUAAUGCUUAGGAAUCUGCCUAUUAGUGGGGGACAACAUUCCGAAAGGAAUGCUAAUACCGCAUACGCCCUACGGGGGAAAGCAGGGGAUCUUCGGACCUUGCGCUAAUAGAUGAGCCUAAGUCAGAUUAGCUAGUUGGUGGGGUAAAGGCCUACCAAGGCGACGAUCUGUAGCGGGUCUGAGAGGAUGAUCCGCCACACUGGGACUGAGACACGGCCCAGACUCCUACGGGAGGCAGCAGUGGGGAAUAUUGGACAAUGGGCGAAAGCCUGAUCCAGCCAUGCCGCGUGUGUGAAGAAGGCCUUUUGGUUGUAAAGCACUUUAAGCGAGGAGGAGGCUACNNNGAUUAAUACUCUUGGAUAGUGGACGUUACUCGCAGAAUAAGCACCGGCUAACUCUGUGCCAGCAGCCGCGGUAAUACAGAGGGUGCGAGCGUUAAUCGGAUUUACUGGGCGUAAAGCGUGCGUAGGCGGCUUUUUAAGUCGGAUGUGAAAUCCCUGAGCUUAACUUAGGAAUUGCAUUCGAUACUGGGAAGCUAGAGUAUGGGAGAGGAUGGUAGAAUUCCAGGUGUAGCGGUGAAAUGCGUAGAGAUCUGGAGGAAUACCGAUGGCGAAGGCAGCCAUCUGGCCUAAUACUGACGCUGAGGUACGAAAGCAUGGGGAGCAAACAGGAUUAGAUACCCUGGUAGUCCAUGCCGUAAACGAUGUCUACUAG
This 736-nucleotide ribosomal RNA is filed under the name unidentified microorganism. RNAcentral's name for it is "bacterial SSU rRNA". It matches the Rfam family "Bacterial small subunit ribosomal RNA", at positions 88 to 819 of the family's 1533-position model. The record is from RNAcentral.